GACGAACGCUGGCGGCGUGCCUAAUACAUGCAAGUAGAACGCUGAAGAGAGGAGCUUGCUCUUCUUGGAUGAGUUGCGAACGGGUGAGUAACGCGUAGGUAACCUGCCUGGUAGCGGGGGAUAACUAUUGGAAACGAUAGCUAAUACCGCAUAAAAUGGAUUAUCGCAUGAUAAUCCAUUGAAAGGUGCAAAUGCAUCACUACCAGAUGGACCUGCGUUGUAUUAGCUAGUUGGUGGGGUAACGGCUCACCAAGGCGACGAUACAUAGCCGACCUGAGAGGGUGAUCGGCCACACUGGGACUGAGACACGGCCCAGACUCCUACGGGAGGCAGCAGGAGGGAAUCUUCGGCAAUGGACGGAAGUCUGACCGAGCAACGCCGCGUGAGUGAAGAAGGUUUUCGGAUCGUAAAGCUCUGUUGUAAGAGAAGAACGAGUGUGAGAGUGGAAAGUUCACACUGUGACGGUAUCUUACCAGAAAGGGACGGCUAACUACGUG
RNAcentral lists this ribosomal RNA (497 nucleotides) under uncultured bacterium. RNAcentral describes it as "partial 16S ribosomal RNA". It matches the Rfam family "Bacterial small subunit ribosomal RNA", at positions 28 to 507 of the family's 1533-position model. The record is from RNAcentral.